RNAcentral lists this ribosomal RNA (467 nucleotides) under uncultured bacterium. RNAcentral's name for it is "partial 16S ribosomal RNA". It matches the Rfam family "Bacterial small subunit ribosomal RNA", at positions 28 to 506 of the family's 1533-position model. The record is from RNAcentral.
GACGAACGCUGGCGGCGUGCUUAACACAUGCAAGUCGAACGGAAAGGCCCUGCUUUUGUGGGGUGCUCGAGUGGCGAACGGGUGAGUAACACGUGAGUAACCUGCCCUUGACUUUGGGAUAACUUCAGGAAACUGGGGCUAAUACCGGAUAGGAGCUCCUGCUGCAUGGUGGGGGUUGGAAAGUUUCGGCGGUUGGGGAUGGACUCGCGGCUUAGCAGCUUGUUGGUGGGGUAGUGGCUUACCAAGGAUUGGACGGGUAGCCGGCCUGAGAGGGUGACCGGGCACAGAGGGACAGGGGUACGAGCCAGAGUGAAUCGGGGGGCAAGGGUGGGGAAUAUUGCACGAUGGGCCGAGGCCGGAUGGAGCAACGCCGCGUGCGGGAUGACGGCCUUCGGGUUGUAAAACGAUUUCGCCUGUGACGAAGCGUGAGUGACGGUAAUGGGUAAAGAGGCACCGCCUACCUAGGU